UAACGCGUGAGGAACCUGCCUCAGAAGGGGGGACAACAGUUGGAAACGACUGCUAAUACCGCAUAAGCCCACAGCUCGGCAUCGAGCAGAGGGAAAAGGAGUGAUCCGCUUUGAGAUGGCCUCGCGUCCGAUUAGCUAGUUGGUGAGGUAAUGGCCCACCAAGGCGACGAUCGGUAGCCGGACUGAGAGGUUGAACGGCCACAUUGGGACUGAGACACGGCCCAG
Molecule: ribosomal RNA, 225 nt
Filed under: uncultured bacterium
Lineage: Bacteria
Description: partial 16S ribosomal RNA
Rfam family: Bacterial small subunit ribosomal RNA
Source: RNAcentral